UUGCUACAUAUGUGCAGGGUUGCAGCAGA
Molecule: non-coding RNA, 29 nt
Filed under: Mus musculus (house mouse)
Lineage: Eukaryota; Metazoa; Chordata; Mammalia; Rodentia; Muridae
Source: RNAcentral